UGCCUUCGGCGCAUCAUCUUCAUACCUCCCUGUUGGACUUGGCCGAGCUUCGUGCUCGGCCUUUUUU
Small RNA from Sulfitobacter sp., 67 nucleotides. It matches the Rfam family "Singlet oxygen resistance RNA X". Rfam says of the family: SorX (RSs2461)like SorY is a singlet oxygen induced sRNA that counteracts oxidative stress by targeting mRNA for a transporter in Rhodobacter. It also has an impact on resistance against organic hydroperoxides. It targets SD sequence of potA mRNA via an aSD sequence. Lineage: Bacteria; Pseudomonadati; Pseudomonadota; Alphaproteobacteria; Rhodobacterales; Roseobacteraceae. The record is from Rfam.